AACGAACGCUGGCGGCAUGCCUAACACAUGCAAGUCGAACGGGAUCCAGGCUUCGGCCUGGUGAGAGUGGCGGACGGGUGAGUAACACGUGGGAACCUGCCUUUUUGGUUCGGGAUAACCGCGGGAAACUGCGGCUAAUACCGGAUGCUCCCGAGAGGGGAAAGAUUUAUCGCCAGAAGAGGGGCCCGCGUCCGAUUAGGUAGUUGGUGAGGUAAUGGCUCACCAAGCCGACGAUCGGUAGCUGGUCUGAGAGGAUGAUCAGCCACACUGGGACUGAGAUACGGCCCAGACUCCUACGGGAGGCAGCAGUGGGGAAUAUUGGACAAUGGGGGCAACCCUGAUCUAGCAAUGCCGCGUGAGUGAUGAAGGCCUUAGGGUUGUAAAGCUCUUUUGCCAGGGAAGAUGAUGACUGUACCUGGAGAAUAAGCCCGGCUAACUUCGUGCCAGCAGCCGCGGUAAU
This 460-nucleotide ribosomal RNA is filed under the name uncultured bacterium. RNAcentral describes it as "bacterial SSU rRNA". It matches the Rfam family "Bacterial small subunit ribosomal RNA", at positions 29 to 524 of the family's 1533-position model. The record is from RNAcentral.